CAGCAUGAGUGAUGCCAUUUUGGGCCUGUGGUUUUCUCCUUAACACAGUAAAGGGCUAGAGCAGGCGUCCUCAAACUACUA
Molecule: non-coding RNA, 81 nt
Organism: Eptesicus fuscus (big brown bat)
Lineage: Eukaryota; Metazoa; Chordata; Mammalia; Chiroptera; Vespertilionidae
Source: RefSeq, marked provisional